Long non-coding RNA from Oncorhynchus keta (chum salmon), 1023 nucleotides. RefSeq lists it as uncharacterized. The record is from RefSeq and is a predicted model, not a curated record. The transcript is spliced from 3 exons. Lineage: Eukaryota; Metazoa; Chordata; Actinopteri; Salmoniformes; Salmonidae.
GAUUAUUAUUUUUUUCAAGACAGAUACCCAAUCGGGUGGCUCACACUUUUCUCGUCAAUGAUUUUGAAAAAAACUGGAAAGCAAAUGAUCCUCUAUCACUACGCGUGCAGCAGGUAGCCUAGUGGUUAGAGUGUAGAGGAGGUAGGUAGCCUAGUGGUUAGAGUGUAGAGGCGGCAGGUAGCCUAGUGGUUAGAGUGUAGAGGAGGCAGGUAGCCUAGUGGUUAGAGUGUAGAGGUGGCAGGUAGCCUAGUGGUUAGAGUGUAGAGGCGGCAGGUAGCCUAGUGGUUAGAGUGUAGAGGCGGCAGGUAGCCUAGUGGUUAGAGUGUAGAGGCGGCAGGUAGCCUAGUGGUUAGAGUGUAGAGGCAGCAGCGUAGCCUAGUGGUUAGAGUGUAGAGGUGGCAGGUAGCCUAGUGGUUAGAGUGUAGAGGAGGUAGGUAGCCUAGUGGUUAGAGUGUAGAGGCGGCAGGUAGCCUAGUGGUUAGAGUGUAGAGGCGGCAGGUAGCCUAGUGGUUAGAGUGUAGAGGCGGCAGGUAGCCUAGUGGUUAGAGUGUAGAGGCGGCAGGUAGCCUAGUGGUUAGAGUGUAGAGGCAGCAGCGUAGCCUAGUGGUUAGAGUGUAGAGGCGGCAGGUAGCCUAGUGGUUAGAGUGUAGAGGCAGCAGCGUAGCCUAGUGGUUAGAGUGUAGAGGCAGCAGCAUAGCCUAGUGGUUAGAGUGUAGAGGAGGCAGGUAGCCUAGUGGUUAGAGUGUAGAGGCGGCAGGAUAGCCUAGUGGUUAGAGUGUAGAGGCGGCAGCGUAGCCUAGUGGUUAGAGUGUAGAGGCAGCAGCAUAGCCUAGUGGUUAGAGUGUAGAGGCAGCAGCGUAGCCUAGUGGUUAGAGUGUAGAGGCGGCAGGUAGCCCAGUGGUUAGAGUGUAGAGGCAGCAGCGUAGCCUAGUGGUUAGAGUGUAGAGGCGGCAGGUAGCCUAGUGGUUAGAGUGUAGAGGCAGCAGCGUAGCCUAGUGGUUAGAGUGUAGAGGCAGCAGCAUA